This 1517-nucleotide long non-coding RNA is filed under the name Homo sapiens (human). Its description in RNAcentral is "uncharacterized LOC127814295, transcript variant 7 (LOC127814295)". The record is from RNAcentral. Lineage: Eukaryota; Metazoa; Chordata; Mammalia; Primates; Hominidae.
AUCUCUGCGUGACUUCCGCCAGCGUUUAGAGCGUUUUCGGGGUCCGAGUUGAAGAGCAAAACCAAGUGAAGGAAACUUCACUAAGUUCAGGGUGACAAGGGAGGAAGUACAGAGACUGCACUUUAAAUUCUGGAUGACAGACCUAUCAGGACUGAGUGGACCUUUGAGUGACAAGAUGGGGGUGUUCCAAAGAGACCAUGGCAGCCUGCAGCUAGGACUUUAAUUGAACUAUUGGCAUGGCUCAAUCCAUUGACCUGUUUUGGUUCCUGAUGAAGUUUUGUUAAUUUAAAUGAGAAAAAUAAGGACAGUGAAAAACAGAGCGCUUAAAAAGCACUGUCUGGAUAUCUUCAGAGGGAAAAAGGAGAAAGUUAACUGAAUUGGUGACACUUCGGGUCUCUCACAGAGGAAGAGACCACCAAACCAACAGAAGCCACCAGGACAGCACACAGCCAUUCCAAAAUUCCAGACCAGGAUCAUUCCAGAAAAGCCUUACAUCUCAGUCCAGUAUAUGGAUGGUUUUGUAAGAUGACCUAUGAUUUUUCUGUUCCUCCUUCCUGCCCCUAACUUCAGAGAAACAGACCUAGAAAGAGGGAAGGAAGGAGUGAAAAAGCGUGCCAUACUUUAUCUUCUCCCCUUCUGUUUUAAACUAGACAAAUCUAUAUUUUAAUUAUUAUAAGUAACCAGAAAGUUAUAUGGUCUGGCCAGGAUGGCAUUAAAGAAAAUGAGAGAGAAAAGUUUAAGAUAGCAUGGUUGGAGACAAUAAGUAGAAGAAACCAAGUAGUUCAAGUUUUAUAACGCUCUAUCUUAUAAACACUCUUGAACCAAUAAUAAUGCUAUUACUGAAAUGCUACACACAAUUGAAGACUACUUGUUAGACCAAGACCUUAAAAACUUCUUUACUGAUUAUUCCCAAUGUGUGGCCCUGGUAAUCAUUGAAGAAUCAUUGUAUUGACUAUUAAACAUCUAGGGAUCACCUGUUUAAAUCAAGUUAACAAAACACUUACUUAACAAAUAUAUAUUGAUUGCCUAUUAUGAAGUAGAUGCUAUAGUAGGUGCUGGCAGUAUAAACAUGAAAAGAGACAUUGUGUGUGCAUAUUAAUAUACAGCAAAUUAAACUUCAGCCAGAGAAGUACUUUACUAGAAGGUUGAUAGAAGUGUGGUGGUAGCUUGCAGGAGGAAGCAGUUAGCCUCCUUGGAAAUGAGUAAUCUUCACAGAAAGUAUGACAUUUGACCUGCUUCUUGGAGAAGAUGCAUAUUAAACCUAUUAAAUCCAUGUCAGCCUUUAACACCUUUGCUCAGAUUAGUUUCUCGAGCUGUUUUCCCACCUGGUGAGCAGAUAAGAGCAGGACAGGAAAGUUCUGAUGAAAGGAAGAAGUGCCAGAGAGAGAAGGCCUUGCAAGCAAAGAAGCCUGACAGGCAGGAGCCCCUGAGUAUCCUAAGGAGAAGUACCAGCGAUUUAGGGAAGAAAAUUGCUGCCAGAAGUGCAGGAAAUAAAAAUUCUGACCUAGAUCAUUUUA